This is a long non-coding RNA of Vespula pensylvanica (western yellowjacket), 1550 nucleotides long. RefSeq lists it as uncharacterized. Lineage: Eukaryota; Metazoa; Arthropoda; Insecta; Hymenoptera; Vespidae. The record is from RefSeq and is a predicted model, not a curated record. The transcript is spliced from 4 exons.
AUCUUCCGAACUGUUUUAAUUCAAGAUCUGAAAGCCCCGAAAUUUUCUUUAAAUCUACCCUUUUAUCCCGAACAACUCGAAAUGGAUCUCGUUACUAAUGUUUUACGACCAGGGAACGUUUAGCUUCAAGCAUCUUUGCGUUGCUUGGCACAUAGAGGUGGAUUUUUAAAUACUGGAAACUUCGACUUUGCGGCUAAUAAUCAAUUAAGCGACAGAACAUUUGUGAAGAGUAUCAGUAUUCAAGAUGUAUUGUUCAAGAUGUGUGUAAUGAACACGAAAGAUGAAAACGAAAUUUGUUCAAUAUUCAGCAAACUUAUAAAGGAAAAUGUGAUCAAACUGAUAAUUAGGACAGCUUUCGACAAAGAUCAAGUAGAGACAGCAUUUAGAUUCAUGGCAAACGGAAAGCAUGUGGGAAAAAUGCUCAUAAAAAUCCAUCAAGAAACUGAACCACUAAAUACACGCAUCUUGGCUAAACUUUCCUAUGUUUGUAUUCCGAUCAAAAGUUAUAUAGUUCUUAGUGGUUUGGGAAGUUUUGGCUUGGACCUAGUUGAUUGGUUGAUUCUAAGAAAUGCUCAGAAUAAUGUCAUUACUUCACGAAAUGGUAUAAAGUAUGGUUAUCAACACAUGAGAACCAAAUUAUAGAAGUCAUACGGUGUGAAUAUGAAUAUCCUGGUAGGUCUAGAUGCGGUUGAUCGGGAUGCCAGCGAACUAAUUGUGAAAACAGCUACUGACUAGAGUCCAGUCGAUGGUAUAUUCAAGCUCUUAGACUUAAACUUCGCUAAACAUAUGGAAAGGAAUAACAAGCCGACAGAUGAUAGCAAUCUUAAUGAAAUUGAAACAAAUCAAAUAUUAUCCAAAUAUGUUGAGUCAUACAAAUAUGUUGAGGCAAUUCUAUAAUGAAAUACUUGCUACCGAAAUAGCUAUACCAUUUAAAACCAAUUUGGUGGAAGAUUGGGAUGAGAUAUUCUUUCUUCCAGGAAUCGAAGGCUAUGCUGACGUUUUCAAAACAUUAGAAUCAAAAAUUAAAUCACCUGCAAUAUGUUUUCAAUUCGAGACGAAAUACGAGUUAGAAACUGUUGAAGCUAUGGCCAAUUCCAUUCUACUGGAUAUUCAUUUGGAUCCGUUCUACUAUUGAACUCACACGAAAUUUAGAAGACAAAAGAUUUAUUGGCCGGUUAAUAUUGAUAGAUGGUGCUCCUUAGCAUCUGAAAACAUUUAUAAAGGACAACUUGCGUUCAUCAUCACAGGAAGAAUUAGAAAACAAUAUUUUCGAUAGCUCGAUGUAAUGAAUGCAUACAUUGGUGUCAAAGCUAUAGAGAUAACUGAAGGCAAAGUAGAUGUGCAUAUUGUUGAAGGAAAUCAUAUCACGGUCUUAUGUGCUGUGGAAAUUUCAAUGGCUAUUAAUGGUGAACCAUUUGAAAAUGCUACAUUAUUUAAUGAAUACGUAAUGUAAGAAAACUAAUAGAGCGUUAGUGAUUUAUUUAUUGUGAUUUUUCGAAAUAAAUAUGGGAUAUCAGCUUUAUGUAACAAAUUUAUUUGUAUUUUGAAAU